UGGGGAAUAUUGCACAAUGGGCGCAAGCCUGAUGCAGCCAUGCCGCGUGUAUGAAGAAGGCCUUCGGGUUGUAAAGUACUUUCAGCGGGGAGGAAGGGAGUAAAGUUAAUACCUUUGCUCAUUGACGUUACCCGCAGAAGAAGCACCGGCUAACUCCGUGCCAGCAGCCGCGGUAAUACGGAGGGUGCAAGCGUUAAUCGGAAUUACUGGGCGUAAAGCGCACGCAGGCGGUUUGUUAAGUCAGAUGUGAAAUCCCCGGGCUCAACCUGGGAACAACAUCAGAUACUGGCAAGCUUGAGUCUCGUAGAGGGGGGUAGAAUUCCAGGUGUAGCAGUGAAAUGCGUAGAGAUCUGGAGGAAUACCGGUGGCGAAGGCGGCCCCCUGGACGAAGACUGACGCUCAGGUGCGAAAGCGUGGGGAGCAAACAGG
Molecule: ribosomal RNA, 429 nt
Filed under: Chloroflexota bacterium
Lineage: Bacteria; Bacillati; Chloroflexota
Description: Chloroflexi bacterium partial 16S ribosomal RNA
Rfam family: Bacterial small subunit ribosomal RNA
Source: RNAcentral